AUGUGUUUAGCACCCACCACGUCGUCGAAGCCGGCCAAGUCGGGUGGAGGCAAGCAGAAGAAGUGGAGCAAGGGCAAGCAAAAGGAGAAGGUGAACAACACGGUGAUCUUCGACCAGGCCACCUACGACAAGCUGCUCACCAAGGUGCCCAAGUACAAGCAGAUCACGCCCUCUGUCCUGUCCGAGCGACUCAGGAUCAACGGGUCGCUGGCUCGCAGGGCCAUCAAGGACCUAACGGGGAGGGGACUCAUCAGGAUGGUGUCAAUCUAG
RNAcentral lists this ribosomal RNA (270 nucleotides) under Triticum aestivum (bread wheat). Its description in RNAcentral is "partial small subunit ribosomal RNA". Lineage: Eukaryota; Viridiplantae; Streptophyta; Magnoliopsida; Poales; Poaceae. The record is from RNAcentral.